AAUCCCUUAUCAAUGAUCUCAUUCUAGAAUCCACAUUUCUUGACGCUGUAUGCGGGAACAUGGACAGAGUGCCCUGACAAAUAUUAUUUUUCCAUAGCGUUAAUUUUUCUGCGAAACCUUUUAUUUUAUCAGAUGACGUCAGAAUAUUCUCAUUUCGUCCCUGCAUACCUGCAUUUAAUUUAAGAUGUUCGAAUAAAUCUGCCAAGUACGCCAAUUUUGUGCACCAUGUAUCGUCGCUGAAUAAAUUAACAAACUCUGAUGACUCCAAUGUGAGGAAUAUUAAUAACUCUUCCUUAAGUUCAUACACGCGGGACAAAAUACGUCCUCUUGAGAGCCAUCUUACCUCGGUGUGAAGAAGCAACGUGUAGUGGGCUGCAUCCAUGUCUUGGCAAAUUUGUUUAAAUAAUCUAGAUUUCAACGGACGACUCUUAAUGAAAUUUAUAACCCUUACUACAUCUUCCAAAACAGUUUUGAAAUCAUUCGGUAGUUUUUGAUACCAAUGCUUCCCUAUGAAUAAAGCAGUGGAACCAGUCAUUGAAGGUGCUCCGUCGGUACAUAUUCCAAUACAAUCGGUCCAUGAUAAAUCAGAGGAUUUCAAAUAUGCAUCCAAAACAUUAAAUAUGUCUUCGCUUCUUGUUGUUUCGUGCAGUUCUUUGCAACAAAAAAAGUUUUCAAUAAAGUCAUCUUCA
Molecule: non-coding RNA, 689 nt
Organism: Bactrocera oleae (olive fruit fly)
Lineage: Eukaryota; Metazoa; Arthropoda; Insecta; Diptera; Tephritidae
Source: RefSeq, a predicted model, not a curated record